RNAcentral lists this long non-coding RNA (229 nucleotides) under Elaeis guineensis (African oil palm). Its description in RNAcentral is "long non-coding RNA (EGUI_LNC005298)". The record is from RNAcentral. Lineage: Eukaryota; Viridiplantae; Streptophyta; Magnoliopsida; Arecales; Arecaceae.
CCCCCGGAGCCGAACGACAUCGAACUCGGACAAGGAAGAAACUUUCACGUCCGGACUUGGAAAUGAAUCAUCAAUCGGAUUACCCGAUCGACUAUCUCGAGGAGGUUCUGUGGGACCAUCUACUGGUUUCUUACCCUUUCUACCCCUACCGAAAGCCAUUAUCAAGAGAAGAAGAAUAGAUAAAGAAACAAUGAAAGAAAAGAAAGGUGAAGGAAGAUGAAAGCAAGAC